AAAGUUCCAGAGACGAUAUGGAAUUAUAUUUGACCUGAAAUGUUCCCUUCCUGGAGCUCCGGAUGCUGCAAUUAAGAGGUUCCAUGUGACACUGCCUUCCGAAUUGCAGUUGAUUUCCUUGGCUGGAAACAAGGAUGAAAGGAGAUGCUCAUAUCUAGCUGCCUCAAUUCCCCGCCAGACCU
This 182-nucleotide long non-coding RNA is filed under the name Callithrix jacchus (white-tufted-ear marmoset). RNAcentral describes it as "lncRNA (ENSCJAG00000083088.1)". The record is from RNAcentral. Lineage: Eukaryota; Metazoa; Chordata; Mammalia; Primates; Cebidae.